AGGCCUUCGGGUCGUAAAGCUCUGUUGUUAGGGAAGAACAAGUACCAGAGUAACUGCUGGUACCUUGACGGUACCUAACCAGAAAGCCACGGCUAACUACGUGCCAGCAGCCGCGGUAAUACGUAGGUGGCAAGCGUUGUCCGGAAUUAUUGGGCGUAAAGCGCGCGCAGGCGGUUCCUUAAGUCUGAUGUGAAAGCCCMCGGCUCAACCGKGGAGGGUCAUUGGAAACUGGGGAACUUGAGUGCAGAAGAGGAAAGCGGAAUUCCACGUGUAGCGGUGAAAUGCGUAGAGAUGUGGAGGAACACCAGUGGCGAAGGCGRCUUUCUGGUCUGUAACUGACGCUGAGGCGCGAAAGCGUGGGGAGCRAACAGGAUUAGAUACCCUGGUAGUCCACGCCGUAAACGAUGAGUGCUAAGUGUURGRGGGUUUCCGCCCYUUAGUGCUGMAGCUAACGCAUUAAGCACUCCGCCUGGGGAGUACGGYCGCAAGGCUGAAACUCAAAGGAAUUGACGGGGRCCCGCACAAGCGGUGGAGCAUGUGGUUUAAUUCGAAGCAACGCGAAGAACCUUACCARSUCUUGACAUCCUCUGACMACUCUMGARAUWGAGCGUUCCCCUUCGGGGGACAGARUGACAGGUGGUGCAUGGUUGUCGUCAGCUCGUGUCGUGAGAUGUUGGGUUAAGUCCCGCAACGAGCGCAACCCUUGGUCUUAGUUGCCAG
This 720-nucleotide ribosomal RNA is filed under the name uncultured bacterium. Its description in RNAcentral is "partial 16S ribosomal RNA". It matches the Rfam family "Bacterial small subunit ribosomal RNA", at positions 412 to 1121 of the family's 1533-position model. The record is from RNAcentral.